This 270-nucleotide ribosomal RNA is filed under the name uncultured Lactobacillus sp. RNAcentral describes it as "partial 16S ribosomal RNA". It matches the Rfam family "Bacterial small subunit ribosomal RNA", at positions 267 to 524 of the family's 1533-position model. Lineage: Bacteria; Bacillati; Bacillota; Bacilli; Lactobacillales; Lactobacillaceae. The record is from RNAcentral.
ACCAAGGCGAUGAUGCAUAGCCGAGUUGAGAGACUGAUCGGCCACAUUGGGACUGAGACACGGCCCAAACUCCUACGGGAGGCAGCAGUAGGGAAAUCUUCCACAAUGGACGCAAGUCUGAUGGAGCAACGCCGCGUGAGUGAAGUAAGGGUUUCGGCUACGUAAAGCUCUGUUGUUGGUGAAGAAGGACAGGGGUAGUAACUGACCUUUGUUUGACGGUAAUCAAUUAGAAAGUCACGGCUAACUACGUGCCCAGCAGCCGCGGGUAAU